GUCUUUUAGAGUAUAAUUUAAAGUCUAACCUGCCCACUGAAUUUUUUUGAAGGGCCGCGGUAUUUUGACUGUGCAAAGGUAGCAUAAUCAUUAGUCUUUUAAUUGGAGGCUUGUAUGAAUGGUUGGAUGAAACAUUAACUGUCUCAAUUUAAUAAAAGUAGAAUUUAAUUUUUAAGUUAAAAAGCUUAAAUUUAAUUAGAGGACGAGAAGACCCUAUAGAUCUUUAUAAUUUAUUAUUUAUUAUUUAUAUAGUAAGUUAAUUAAUAUUAAUUAAUUGAUUAUUUUAUUGGGGUGAUAAAUAAAUUUAGUAAACUUUAUUUUAUAUAAACAUUAAUUUAUGAAUAUUUGAUCCAUUAUUAGUGAUUAAAAGAUUAAGUUACCUUAGGGAUAACAGCGUAAUUUUUUUAGAGAGUUCUUAUCGAUAAAAAAGUUUGCGACCUCGAUGUUGAAUUAAAGGUUAAUUUUAGGUGCAGAAGUUUAAAGUUUUGGUCUGUUCGACCAUUAAAUC
This 508-nucleotide ribosomal RNA is filed under the name Protohermes grandis. Its description in RNAcentral is "partial 16S ribosomal RNA". It matches the Rfam family "Bacterial large subunit ribosomal RNA", at positions 1829 to 2594 of the family's 2925-position model. The record is from RNAcentral. Lineage: Eukaryota; Metazoa; Arthropoda; Insecta; Megaloptera; Corydalidae.